AAAAUAGACUGUGGAUGUAGCUCAGUGAUAGAGCAACCCUGAGUUCAAUCCCUAAUACUGAAAUAAAACAAAAAAUUUGCUGGUGGGAAUGUAAACUGGCACACCCAUUUGGGAAAACUGUCUAGCAAUUGUUCAACCUAUUAAACUACUGUAUAAACAAAAUAUAUUUUAUCCAUAGAAUGGAAUAUUAGCCAGAAAAAAGGAACAAUAUGAAUGAACCUUGAAAACAUUCUAAACCUAAGAAGUAAAUCAUGCACACACUGCACACUCAAUUCAUAAUCCAUACAAAAUAUCCAGCAAGAGAAACUUCAUAGGGAUAGAAAAUAAACUAGUGUUUACUUAGAGCUGGGCACUGAUGGAUUGGUGGGGUUGAUAGCUAAAAGGUAUGUAUUUUGCGGGGAGGUGAUUAAAAUGGUCUAAAACUGAAAAAGAUCAUGUAAUAUGUAUAAAUAUACUAAAAAUAUUGGAUUUUUAUACUGCAUGUGGGCAAAUUGUAUAAUGUGUGAAAUAUCUCAAUCUGAGAGGAAACCCUUAUAAACAGUAAAAGAAUAAAAAUACUGAACAAUAACAGCACAUAAGUUGGAAAGGGGAACUCAAAAAUCAAAACAUUUUUUGAUGGUAAGAUGUUAGUUACAGGGAGCUGGGGUUGUGGCUCAGUG
RNAcentral lists this long non-coding RNA (659 nucleotides) under Marmota monax (woodchuck). Lineage: Eukaryota; Metazoa; Chordata; Mammalia; Rodentia; Sciuridae. The record is from RNAcentral.